ACAUUAAAUGAAAUAAUGCUAAAUGUUUAUAAACAAUUUUUUGGAGAUGCAGUAGACAUGACUGAGGGUGCUGAAUUAACAUGGAUGCGUCAACCUCAUUACUAUAUGGGAUUAUAUUCGUAUACGUAUUCUGCUGGCUUAACAAUCGGAACUGUCGUUUCUCAAAAGAUUAAAAAUGAAGGCCAACCAGCUGUUGAUGCUUGGUUAGAAACAUUGAAAAAAGGUGGUAGUGUAUCACCUGUCGAACUUGCAAACAUUGCAGGUGUAGACAUUACUACAGAACAGCCACUUAAAUCUACAAUUCAAUAUAUUUCUGAUUUAGUCGAUGAAGUUGAAAAAUUAACAGAUGAAAUUGAGCAAGCAAAUAACUAAGAUGCGAGACAAUUUAUAGUAGAACAAUAUAAACCAAGAUUUUCACAUUACUAAUUGUGAGAAUCU
Molecule: small RNA, 438 nt
Filed under: Staphylococcus aureus
Lineage: Bacteria; Bacillati; Bacillota; Bacilli; Caryophanales; Staphylococcaceae
Description: Transcript
Source: RNAcentral